Molecule: signal recognition particle RNA, 99 nt
Filed under: Candidatus Cloacimonetes bacterium HGW-Cloacimonetes-2
Lineage: Bacteria; Pseudomonadati; Candidatus Cloacimonadota
Description: signal recognition particle sRNA small type
Rfam family: Bacterial small signal recognition particle RNA
About the family: The signal recognition particle (SRP) is a universally conserved ribonucleoprotein involved in the co-translational targeting of proteins to membranes. Archaeal SRP consists of a 7S RNA and homologues of the eukaryotic SRP19 and SRP54 proteins.
Source: RNAcentral
AGCCAGGCGCAACACAAUGGCUGCUUGUGAACCAUGUCAGGUCAGGAAUGAAGCAGCAUUAAGCAAUGCCAGUCAUGUGUCGUUGUUAGCCUGGCCUUU